CCUACGGGCGGCUGCAGUAGGGAAUUUUCCACAAUGGGCGAAAGCCUGAUGGAGCAACGCCGCGUGAACGAAGAAGGCCUUCGGGUUGUAAAGUUCUGUUGUCAGGGACGAAACCGUACCGUUCGAAGAGCGCGGUACCUUGACGGUACCUGACGAGGAAGCCACGGCUAACUACGUGCCAGCAGCCGCGGUAAUACGUAGGUGGCAAGCGUUGUCCGGAAUUAUUGGGCGUAAAGCGCGCGCAGGCGGCCGGGUAAGUCUGGUGUGAAAGCCCGGGGCUCAACCCCGGUGUGCAUUGGAAACUGCCUGGCUUGAGUGCAGGAGAGGGAAGCGGUAUUCCACGUGUAGCGGUGAAAUGCGUAGAGAUGUGGAGGAACACCAGUGGCGAAGGCGGCUUUCUGGCCUGUAACUGACGCUGAGGCGCGAAAGCGUGGGGAGCAAACAGGAUUAGAUACCCCAGUAGUC
RNAcentral lists this ribosomal RNA (465 nucleotides) under uncultured bacterium. Its description in RNAcentral is "bacterial SSU rRNA". It matches the Rfam family "Bacterial small subunit ribosomal RNA", at positions 338 to 795 of the family's 1533-position model. The record is from RNAcentral.